Molecule: ribosomal RNA, 506 nt
Filed under: uncultured bacterium
Lineage: Bacteria
Description: partial 16S ribosomal RNA
Rfam family: Bacterial small subunit ribosomal RNA
Source: RNAcentral
AUUGAACGCUGGCGGCAGGCCUAACACAUGCAAGUCGGACGGUAGCACAGAGGAGCUUGCUCCUCGGGUGACGAGUGGCGGACGGGUGAGUAAUGUCUGGGAAACUGCCCGAUGGAGGGGGAUAACUACUGGAAACGGUAGCUAAUACCGCAUAACGUCGCAAGACCAAAGUGGGGGACCUUCGGGCCUCACACCAUCGGAUGUGCCCAGAUGGGAUGAGCUGGUAGGCGGGGUAACGGCCCACCUAGGCGGCGAUCCCUAGCUGGUCUGAGAGGAUGAGCAGCCGCACUGGAACUGAGAGACGGGCCAGAAUCGUACGGGAGGCAGCAGUGGGGAAUAUUGCACAAUGGGCGCAAGCCUGAUGCAGCCAUGCCGCGUGUAUGAAGAAGGCCUUCGGGUUGUAAAGUACUUUCAGCGGGGAGGAAGGUGCUGAGGUUAAUAAGCUCAGCAAUUGACGUUACCCGCAGAAGAAGCACCGGCUAACUCCGUGCCAGCCGCCGCGGUAA